Molecule: ribosomal RNA, 843 nt
Filed under: Cadophora fastigiata
Lineage: Eukaryota; Fungi; Ascomycota; Leotiomycetes; Helotiales; Ploettnerulaceae
Description: eukaryotic LSU rRNA
Rfam family: Eukaryotic large subunit ribosomal RNA
Source: RNAcentral
UACCUCAGUAACGGCGAGUGAAGCGGUAACAGCUCAAAUUUGAAAUCUGGGUCUUUCAGGCUCCGAGUUGUAAUUUGUAGAAGAUGCUUCGGGUGUGGCUCCGGUCUAAGUUCCUUGGAACAGGACGUCAUAGAGGGUGAGAAUCCCGUAUGUGACUGGUUGCCUUCGCCCAUGUGAAGCUCUUUCGACGAGUCGAGUUGUUUGGGAAUGCAGCUCAAAAUGGGUGGUAAAUUUCAUCUAAAGCUAAAUAUUGGCCAGAGACCGAUAGCGCACAAGUAGAGUGAUCGAAAGAUGAAAAGCACUUUGGAAAGAGAGUUAAACAGUACGUGAAAUUGUUGAAAGGGAAGCGCUUGCAACCAGACUUGCACGCUGCCGAUCAUCCGGGGUUCUCCCCGGUGCACUCGGUUGCGUUCAGGCCAGCAUCGGUUUGGGUGGUUGGAUAAAGGCCUUGGGAAUGUAGCUUCUUUCGGGGAGUGUUAUAGCCCUCGGUGCAAUGCAGCCUACCCGGACCGAGGACCGCGCUUCGGCUAGGAUGCUGGCGUAAUGGUUGUAAGCGACCCGUCUUGAAACACGGACCAAGGAGUCUAACAUCUAUGCGAGUGUUUGGGUGUCAAACCCAUACGCGUAAUGAAAGUGAACGGAGGUGAGAACCCUUAAGGGUGCAUCAUCGACCGAUCCUGAUGUCUUCGGAUGGAUUUGAGUAAGAGCAUAGCUGUUGGGACCCGAAAGAUGGUGAUCUAUACUUGAAUAGGGUGAAGCCAGAGGAAACUCUGGUGGAGGCUCGCAGCGGUUCUGACGUGCAAAUCGAUCGUCAAAUUUGAGUAUAGGGCGAAAGACUAAUCG